Long non-coding RNA from Podarcis raffonei (Aeolian wall lizard), 806 nucleotides. RefSeq lists it as uncharacterized. Lineage: Eukaryota; Metazoa; Chordata; Lepidosauria; Squamata; Lacertidae. The transcript is spliced from 2 exons. The record is from RefSeq and is a predicted model, not a curated record.
ACAAAACACCUCACACACACACACACACCCGGCCCGUGAGGGACCAGAAUAUGUCUUUUUAAAAAAGAGCUUUUCCGGCGCUGUUCUCGGCGGAAAUGUUGGGCGGCGGCAGCGUAGACGAGACCCGGCUUGAGGACCUCGUCCACACGGGCAGCUGAGGAACCCGUUCGGCUUCGAAUUGGGAAGGAAGGACCCGCGGAGGAGGGCUCGGGGCGGAAUUAAAAGGCCGCCCGGCCUAACCGCCAGAGGCUCCCUGCAAGCGCCGAGGCCCCAAAGCCUCAGACAAUAACUGCGCUGCCCCUCCCCCCGCCCCACCGCCGUCCAGCAUAAACCACCGCAGCCACCGAGCGCUCCCGGUUCCGCCCUUCCCUUCCCUGUCAACCAAUUAGUGCCGCGCAAGUCUCAUUUUCGGCCAAUCGUUUAAAAAGAAAAAGCUCCCGUCAAACGGGCGUGCCUACGUCACCGCGUGCGGCAAGAAGACGCCUGCAAUCGCUUGUACUUCCCCAAUUGUGGUGAGGCGAGCCGCGAGGCUAUGGAGCUGAGAUCAUCAUCAAAGCCUGCAGAAAAUGCAGAAAUAAUGGUCUAUCACCCUACAGAACUAGACAGCCAUGCAUGUCAGGUCAUGGGAAGAAUGUGAUGAAACUUGCUUAUGCAUUCACGAGACUCUCAAUUCAGGCUGUGGCAAUAUUGUGUUUCCCAAGACACACAAUUAUGUUCCACCAUUGUCAAACCAGUAUUACAGCUUUCAGACAUACGUUCCUGCUGUGCUCAAUUCAUAUAAUAAACCUUUAUUUAGUGUACCCUAA